GAUGAACGCUGGCGGCGUGCCUAAUACAUGCAAGUCGAGCGAACGGACGAGAAGCUUGCUUCUCUGAUGUUAGCGGCGGACGGGUGAGUAACACGUGGAUAACCUACCUAUAAGACUGGGAUAACUUCGGGAAACCGGAGCUAAUACCGGAUAAUAUUUUGAACCGCAUGGUUCAAAAGUGAAAGACGGUCUUGCUGUCACUUAUAGAUGGAUCCGCGCUGCAUUAGCUAGUUGGUAAGGUAACGGCUUACCAAGGCAACGAUGCAUAGCCGACCUGAGAGGGUGAUAGGCCACACGGGAACUGAGACACGGUCCAGACUCCUACGGGAGGCAGCAGUAGGGAAUCUUCCGCAAUGGGCGAAAGCCUGACGGAGCAACGCCGCGUGAGUGAUGAAGGUCUUCGGAUCGUAAAACUCUGUUAUUAGGGAAGAACAUAUGUGUAAGUAACUGUGCACAUCUUGACGGUAACUAAUCAGAAAGCCACGGCUAACUACGUG
Molecule: ribosomal RNA, 497 nt
Filed under: uncultured bacterium
Lineage: Bacteria
Description: partial 16S ribosomal RNA
Rfam family: Bacterial small subunit ribosomal RNA
Source: RNAcentral